UACGUAGGGGGCAAGCGUUAUCCGGAUUUACUGGGUGUAAAGGGAGCGUAGACGGCACUGCAAGUCUGGAGUGAAAGCCCGAGGCCCAACCACGGGACUGCUCUGGAAACUGCGGGGCUGGAGUGCAGGAGGGGUAAGCGGAAUUCCUAGUGUAGCGGUGAAAUGCGUAGAUAUUAGGAGGAACACCGGUGGCGAAGGCGGCUUACUGGACUGUAACUGACGUUGAGGCUCGAAAGCGUGGGGAGCAAACAGG
Molecule: ribosomal RNA, 253 nt
Filed under: uncultured bacterium
Lineage: Bacteria
Description: partial 16S ribosomal RNA
Rfam family: Bacterial small subunit ribosomal RNA
Source: RNAcentral